GAUGAACGCUGGCGGCGUGCCUAAUACAUGCAAGUCGAGCGAACGGACGAGAAGCUUGCUUCUCUGAUGUUAGCGGCGGACGGGUGAGUAACACGUGGAUAACCUACCUAUAAGACUGGGAUAACUUCGGGAAACCGGAGCUAAUACCGGAUAAUAUUUUGAACCGCAUGGUUCAAAAGUGAAAGACGGUCUUGCUGUCACUUAUAGAUGGAUCCGCGCUGCAUUAGCUAGUUGGUAAGGUAACGGCUUACCAAGGCAACGAUGCAUAGCCGACCUGAGAGGGUGAUCGGCCAAACGGGAACGGAGACACGGUCCAGACUCCUACGGGAGGCAGCAGUAGGGAAUCUUCCGCAAUGGGCGAAAGCCGGACGGAGCAACGCCGCGUGAGUGAUGAAGGUCUUCGGAUCGUAAAACUCUGUUAUUAGGGAAGAACAUAUGUGUAAGUAACUGUGCACAUCUUGACGGUACCUAAUCAGAAAGCCACGGCUAACUACGUG
This 497-nucleotide ribosomal RNA is filed under the name uncultured bacterium. RNAcentral's name for it is "partial 16S ribosomal RNA". It matches the Rfam family "Bacterial small subunit ribosomal RNA", at positions 28 to 507 of the family's 1533-position model. The record is from RNAcentral.